This 24-nucleotide non-coding RNA is filed under the name Arabidopsis thaliana (thale cress). Lineage: Eukaryota; Viridiplantae; Streptophyta; Magnoliopsida; Brassicales; Brassicaceae. The record is from RNAcentral.
AGGGCAUGUCCUGAGGAGGUUGUC